UUUUACAUUCUUUUCUAGGAGUGAGUGUUUGGUUUCUGCUCUGGAGGUGCUUGAGAAGGGCAAUAGAUCUUAUCUCCAAGUCUUAUUUUCUAAAGAGGAUCCAAGCCAUCGAUACGCAUGAUCUCCAGCAUCCCAGCAGCCAUUUCCUGCUGACCGCGGAGCAGGAAGAGCACGUGACCCUGGCUGGAGCCGGCAAGAGGGUGGAGAUGAUCAGAAAUCCUUUCACUGUCAAAUUCAGAGAAGAAACAUGCUGAGAAGAGGCAUUUCCUAUGCCAGGGCUACCUGUGCCUUGAGGAAUACAUGUAGGAGACACUAUUUGAAAAGGUAAAUCAUUUAUCAAAUUCUAGGGGAAAAGUAUUAGGAUAGGAUAGAGUGGCUUGUGGAAAACUGAGAGGGAAAUUCACCUCAGAAAAUGGGAGGUUUAUUUAAAGCAGAAAAUUACAAUAGUAUUAUUUUAGAAAGAGUGUGUGUGUGUGUGUGUCUAUACCUUCAUUAAUACUAAGUACUCUUCAGAACACUAAAUAUGAUCUUCCCAACCUUAAAUUCAGAAGGGAGCCAUUUCCCAGUUUAUUUCAAACAGCCCCAAUUAUCAGAUAAAUAUUUUUUCUAAGUCGCCACCUUGGUGGAACAACCAAAGCAGAGAUAAUGCUGGGCCCUCUAAUCAACUGAACAGUGGCUUCAAAAAGAUAGAUCAAAGUUAUAAUCUCCUGCAACUGUGCAUGUGACUUUCUUUGGAAAUAGGAUCUUGCAGGUGUGAUGAAGGCAAGGAUUUUAAGCUGAGAUCAUCCUAAAUGUGGAUGGGUGAGUCCUACACCUGAUGACUGGUGUGCUUCUAAGGGAAACAAAAGGGAAAUGUAACACAGGGACACCUGGAAGGCCAUGUGAAGGCGAAGGCUGACAUUGGAGUUAUGUUGCCACAAGCCAAGGAAUGACAGGGUUGCUAGCAACCACAAGAACUGAGAAGACAGCCAUGGAACGAAUUCUUCCUCAGAGCCUCCAGAAGGAACUCACCCUGCUGACACUUUGAUUUCAGACUCUGGCCUCCAGAACUGUGAAAGAACAACUGUGUGCUGUUUUAAGCCACCCAGUUUGUGGUAAUGUGUUACAACAAUCCAAGGAAACUAAUAGAAACCCCACGCCUUUGGUCUGAGCAUAGAAGUAAAUUGGAAAUGAUUUACAUUGCCUUGA
Molecule: non-coding RNA, 1188 nt
Organism: Chlorocebus sabaeus (green monkey)
Lineage: Eukaryota; Metazoa; Chordata; Mammalia; Primates; Cercopithecidae
Source: RefSeq, a predicted model, not a curated record